RNAcentral lists this ribosomal RNA (487 nucleotides) under uncultured Pseudomonadota bacterium. RNAcentral's name for it is "bacterial SSU rRNA". It matches the Rfam family "Bacterial small subunit ribosomal RNA", at positions 355 to 833 of the family's 1533-position model. The record is from RNAcentral. Lineage: Bacteria; Pseudomonadati; Pseudomonadota.
UGGGGAAUCUUGCGCAAUGGGCGAAAGCCUGACGCAGCGACGCCGCGUGGGCGACGAAGGCCUUCGGGUUGUAAAGCCCUGUGGGGCGGGACGAACACAUUCACGGUGAACAAUCGUGGAUGCUGACGGUACCGCCUUAGCAAGCACCGGCUAACUCUGUGCCAGCAGCCGCGGUAAGACAGAGGGUGCAAACGUUGCUCGGAAUUACUGGGCGUAAAGCGCGUGUAGGCGGUGCCGCACGUCGGGUGUGAAAGCCCAGGGCUCAACCCUGGAAGUGCACUCGAUACGACGGCGCUGGAGUCCUGAAGAGGAGAGCGGAAUUCCCGGUGUAGAGGUGAAAUUCGUAGAUAUCGGGAGGAACACCAGUGGCGAAGGCGGCUCUCUGGACAGGUACUGACGCUGAGACGCGAAAGCGUGGGUAGCAAACAGGAUUAGAUACCCUGGUAGUCCACGCCGUAAACGAUGAGUGCUGGGUGUCGCGGGUAUU